UGAGCUUGAUCCUGGCUCAGGAUGAACGCUAGCGGCAGGCUUAACACAUGCAAGUCGAGGGGUAUGGUUCUUCGGAGCCAGAGACCGGCGCACGGGUGCGUAACGCGUAUGCAAUCUACCUUUUACAGAGGGAUAGCCCAGAGAAAUUUGGAUUAAUACCUCAUAGUAUAAUGACUCGGCAUCGAGAUAUUAUUAAAGUCACAACGGUAAAAGAUGAGCAUGCGUCCCAUUAGCUAGUUGGUAAGGUAACGGCUUACCAAGGCUACGAUGGGUAGGGGUCCUGAGAGGGAGAUCCCCCACACUGGUACUGAGACACGGACCAGACUCCUACGGGAGGCAGCAGUGAGGAAUAUUGGACAAUGGGCGCAAGCCUGAUCCAGCCAUGCCGCGUGCAGGAUGACGGUCCUAUGGAUUGUAAACUGCUUUUAUACGAGAAGAAACACUACUUCGUGAAGUAGCUGACGG
Molecule: ribosomal RNA, 465 nt
Filed under: Flavobacterium sp. 01WB02.4-23
Lineage: Bacteria; Pseudomonadati; Bacteroidota; Flavobacteriia; Flavobacteriales; Flavobacteriaceae
Description: bacterial SSU rRNA
Rfam family: Bacterial small subunit ribosomal RNA
Source: RNAcentral